GAGAGUUUGAUCCUGGCUCAGGAUGAACGCUAGCGACAGGCUUAACACAUGCAAGUCGAGGGGCAGCGGGGUGUAGCAAUACACCGCCGGCGACCGGCGCACGGGUGAGUAACGCGUAUGCAACUUGCCUAUCAGAGGGGGAUAACCCGGCGAAAGUCGGACUAAUACCGCAUGAAGCAGGGGCCCCGCAUGGGGAUAUUUGCUAAAGAUUCAUCGCUGAUAGAUAGGCAUGCGUUCCAUUAGGCAGUUGGCGGGGUAACGGCCCACCAAACCGACGAUGGAUAGGGGUUCUGAGAGGAAGGUCCCCCACAUUGGUACUGAGACACGGACCAAACUCCUACGGGAGGCAGCAGUGAGGAAUAUUGGUCAAUGGGCGCGAGCCUGAACCAGCCAAGUCGCGUGAGGGAUGAAGGUUCUAUGGAUCGUAAACCUCUUUUAUAAGGGAAUAAAGUGCGGGACGUGUCCCGUUUUGUAUGUACCUUAUGAAUAAGGAUCGGCUAACUCCGUGCCAGCAGCCGCGGUAAUACGGAGGAUCCGAGCGUUAUCCGGAUUUAUUGGGUUUAAAGGGUGCGUAGGCGGCCUUUUAAGUCAGCGGUGAAAGUCUGUGGCUCAACCAUAGAAUUGCCGUUGAAACUGGGGGGCUUGAGUAUGUUUGAGGCAGGCGGAAUGCGUGGUGUAGCGGUGAAAUGCUUAGAUAUCACGCAGAACCCCGAUUGCGAAGGCAGCCUGCCAAGCCAUGACUGACGCUGAUGCACGAAAGCGUGGGGAUCAAACAGGAUUAGAUACCCUGGUAGUCCACGCAGUAAACGAUGAUCACUAGCUGUUUGCGAUACAGUGUAAGCGGCACAGCGAAAGCGUUAAGUGAUCCACCUGGGGAGUACGCCGGCAACGGUGAAACUCAAAGGAAUUGACGGGGGCCCGCACAAGCGGAGGAACAUGUGGUUUAAUUCGAUGAUACGCGAGGAACCUUACCCGGGUUUGAACGCAUUCGGACCGAGGUGGAAACACCUUUUCUAGCAAUAGCCGUUUGCGAGGUGCUGCAUGGUUGUCGUCAGCUCGUGCCGUGAGGUGUCGGCUUAAGUGCCAUAACGAGCGCAACCCUUGCCACUAGUUACUAACAGGUGAUGCUGAGGACUCUGGUGGGACUGCCAGCGUAAGCUGCGAGGAAGGCGGGGAUGACGUCAAAUCAGCACGGCCCUUACAUCCGGGGCGACACACGUGUUACAAUGGCGUGGACAAAGGGAGGCCACCUGGCGACAGGGAGCGAAUCCCCAAACCACGUCUCAGUUCGGAUCGGAGUCUGCAACCCGACUCCGUGAAGCUGGAUUCGCUAGUAAUCGCGCAUCAGCCAUGGCGCGGUGAAUACGUUCCCGGGCCUUGUACACACCGCCCGUCAAGCCAUGGGAGCCGGGGGUACCUGAAGUCCGUAACCGCGAGGAUCGGCCUAGGGUAAAACUGGUGACUGGGGCUAAGUCGUAACAAGGUAGCCG
Molecule: ribosomal RNA, 1490 nt
Filed under: uncultured bacterium
Lineage: Bacteria
Description: partial 16S ribosomal RNA
Rfam family: Bacterial small subunit ribosomal RNA
Source: RNAcentral